GCCAGGCGUGGUGGCGCACGCCUGUAGUCCCAGCUACUUGGGAGGCUGAGGCAGGAGAAUUGCGUGAACCCAGGAGGCAAAGGUUGCAGUGAGCCGAGAUCGCACCACUGCACUCCAGCCUGGGUGACAGUGCAAUACUCUGUCUAAA
This is an unclassified non-coding RNA of Pongo abelii (Sumatran orangutan), 148 nucleotides long. It matches the Rfam family "Metazoan signal recognition particle RNA". Rfam says of the family: The signal recognition particle (SRP) is a universally conserved ribonucleoprotein. It is involved in the co-translational targeting of proteins to membranes. The eukaryotic SRP consists of a 300-nucleotide 7S RNA and six proteins: SRPs 72, 68, 54, 19, 14, and 9. The record is from Ensembl. Lineage: Eukaryota; Metazoa; Chordata; Mammalia; Primates; Hominidae.